AAGGAAGCAUCCGAAAAUCCUUUUAAAAGAGUUGGAA
This 37-nucleotide non-coding RNA is filed under the name unclassified sequences. RNAcentral describes it as "DUF805b RNA". It matches the Rfam family "DUF805b RNA". From Rfam's summary of the family: Bacteroidetes, Chlorobi (1 example), Proteobacteria. Lineage (Flavobacteria) The record is from RNAcentral.